Molecule: long non-coding RNA, 1087 nt
Organism: Drosophila miranda
Lineage: Eukaryota; Metazoa; Arthropoda; Insecta; Diptera; Drosophilidae
Exons: 3
Source: RefSeq, a predicted model, not a curated record
CAGCUGAUUGUGGGAAAAAAAUUGGCGCCAAAUUACUUGUUUACAUUUUUACGUGGCGAUCGAGUAAAUUUGCUCAAAUAAAUUCGGCUAAAAAUGGAAAAUGAAGAUAAAGAAAAUUUAACUGCGUCCCCUGUGUUUCGUAGAAUAUAACAAAUGAACUGAGUUCUGCUGAGAAAAACUAACUAUGAAAGUUCGAGUUUUUGCAUAGCGAUCUCAUCGAUAUUUGGCGCAACAACAAUCGACAAAAAAAAUCUGUCUCACAUUGGAUUUACAGUAAAAUCAAUAACAACCAUUUGAAAAAUGAAAAAAAAGAGAAAUAGAUAAAAAAAUCAGUAAUUUUGAAUCCUUCAUUAAAAGAAACCUUCUGAAGUGCAACAAAAUGAUGGAAUGACGGUUUAUGACCACCCAUGCUAAAUGGAUGGCUUCUAAAAUAACAAUUAUUGUUGAUGAAAAUUGUAAGACACCAAAGAAAAUGGGACGUCCAACAUUACAUUAUACAAAUGCAGGGACAAGAUUAAAAAGGAAACUGGCGUCUGAUCUUGCAAAUGAUAAUAAUAAUAACACGAAUCUUCUUAUGCAUGCUGCGGCAGUUUCUGCUAAGAAAGAACGCAAGACCGACGUGGCUUUUGUCCUAACAAAAACAAUUAGAACACCUGAAUACCCGACUGAAUCGAAAAAGCAUCUUCAAUUGCAAAAGCCCAUUCCACUUUCACCAGAUGAAGCUUUAGCUUACCUCCUGGAAAAUUCACUCAACAAACAGCAGUAUACAAACACUAGGCUUUUAAAUAAAAGGCAUAACUGUGACAUUUAUCCUAGCUGUAAUAAAGUAAUGGAAGCUAAAUUACAGUGCCGACCAGAGUGCAUAGAAGUAAUGGAAACUACUGCUCGAGUGCCAUUACAAAAUCUUUUGGAUCAUACAGCACAUCGAAUAAUUAAAUUGCAGUCCGAUGUUUUCAAGCAGUUCCCGGAUGCAUCUGAAAUCAAAUUAAUCUGCAGCUACGGAUUUGAUGGCUCAACGGGUCAUAGUAUAUACAAGCAGAAGUUUUUAACUGAAAUACCUGGCAGUCAGCUUUCCGAUCAUUCUUUA